RNAcentral lists this ribosomal RNA (1244 nucleotides) under metagenome. RNAcentral's name for it is "bacterial LSU rRNA". It matches the Rfam family "Bacterial large subunit ribosomal RNA", at positions 1564 to 2818 of the family's 2925-position model. The record is from RNAcentral.
UGAAUACGAGACGCUAAGGCGUCGAAGUAGUGUAUGUCAUACUUCCAAGAAAAGCUUGCACUGUCAUAGAUAAAAAACGCCUGUACCAUAACCGACACAGGUGGGUAGGUAGAGUAUACUAAGGGGCGCGAGAUAACUCUCUCUAAGGAACUCGGCAAAAUAACUCCGUAACUUCGGGAGAAGGAGUGCCUUAUUCGUAAGGUUGCAAUAACAAGAUCCAAGCAACUGUUUAUCAAAAACACAGGUCUCCGCUAAGUCGUAAGACGAUGUAUGGGGGCUGACGCCUGCCCAGUGCCAGAAGGUUAAAGAAGUUGGUUAGCAAUUGCGAAGCUGAUAACUGAAGCCCUGGUGAACGGCGGCCGUAACCAUAACGGUCCUAAGGUAGCGAAAUUCCUUGUCGGGUAAGUUCCGACCCGCACGAAAGGCGUAAUGAUUUGGAUACUGUCUCGGAGAGGGGCUCGGUGAAAUAGACUUGUCUGUGAAGAUGCGGACUACCUGCACCAGGACAGAAAGACCCUAUGAAGCUUUACUGUAACUUGAAAUUGAAAUUGGACUUUAUUCGCGCAGCAUAGGUGGGAGGCGUUGAUUAUAAUCUUGCGGGAUUAUUGGAGCCAUCAGUGAGAUACCACUCUUGUAAUGUUAGAUUUCUAACUUUGAAUCAUUAUCUGGUCAAAGAACAGUUUCAGGCGGGCAGUUUGACUGGGGCGGUCGCCUCCUAAACGGUAACGGAGGCGUACAAAGGUUUCCUCUGAACGGUUAGAAAUCGUAUCUAGAGUGUAAAGGCAUAAGGAAGCUUGACUGUGAGACCUACAAGUCGAGCAGGGACGAAAGUCGGUCUUAGUGAUCUGACGGUACUGAGUGGAAAGGCCGUCACUCAACGGAUAAAAGUUACUCUAGGAUAACAGGCUGAUCUCCCCCAAGAGUUCACAUCGACGGGGAGGUUUGGCACCUCGAUGUCGGCUCAUCGCAUCCUGGGGCGGUAGUACGUCCCAAGGGUUGGGCUGUUCGCCCAUGAAAGCGGUACGCGAGCUGGGUUCAGAACGUCGUGAGACAGUUCGGUCCAUAUCCGGUGUAGGCGUUAGAAUAUUGAGAGGAGCCUUCUUUAGUACGGGAGGACCGAGAAGGACAUACCUCUGGUGUACCAGUUAUCGUGCCAACGGUAAACGCUGGGUAGCUAUGUAUGGAGUGGAUAACCGCUGAAAGCAUCUAAGUGGGAAGCCCACCUCAAGAUAAGUAUUCUCAUC